RNAcentral lists this transfer RNA (72 nucleotides) under Ornithorhynchus anatinus (platypus). It matches the Rfam family "tRNA". Rfam says of the family: Transfer RNA (tRNA) molecules are approximately 80 nucleotides in length. Their secondary structure includes four short double-helical elements and three loops (D, anti-codon, and T loops). Further hydrogen bonds mediate the characteristic L-shaped molecular structure. tRNAs have two regions of fundamental functional importance: the anti-codon, which is responsible for specific mRNA codon recognition, and the 3' end, to which the tRNAs corresponding amino acid is attached (by aminoacyl-tRNA synthetases). tRNAs cope with the degeneracy of the genetic code in two manners: having more than one tRNA (with a specific anti-codon) for a particular amino acid; and 'wobble' base-pairing, i.e. permitting non-standard base-pairing at the 3rd anti-codon position. Lineage: Eukaryota; Metazoa; Chordata; Mammalia; Monotremata; Ornithorhynchidae. The record is from Rfam by way of RNAcentral.
AGCAGAAUGGCUUAGUGGAAAGAGCGUGGGCCUGGGAGUCUGUGGACCUGGGUUCUAGUCCCAGAUCUGCCA